CACGUAGGGCGCAAGCGUUGUCCGGAAUUAUUGGGCGUAAAGAGCUCGUAGGCGGUCUGUUGCGUCCGCUGUGAAAACUCGGGGCUUAACCCCGAGCCUGCAGUGGAUACGGGCAGGCUAGAGUUCGGUAGGGGAGAUCGGAAUUCCUGGUGUAGCGGUGAAAUGCGCAGAUAUCAGGAGGAACACCGGUGGCGAAGGCGGAUCUCUGGGCCUGCACUGACGCUCAUGCACGAAAGCGUGGGGAGCAAACAGG
This 253-nucleotide ribosomal RNA is filed under the name uncultured bacterium. Its description in RNAcentral is "partial 16S ribosomal RNA". It matches the Rfam family "Bacterial small subunit ribosomal RNA", at positions 524 to 776 of the family's 1533-position model. The record is from RNAcentral.